Molecule: ribosomal RNA, 1498 nt
Filed under: Bacillus subtilis
Lineage: Bacteria; Bacillati; Bacillota; Bacilli; Caryophanales; Bacillaceae
Description: bacterial SSU rRNA
Rfam family: Bacterial small subunit ribosomal RNA
Source: RNAcentral
UCCCCGAGACCGCUUGGCCUAAUACAUGCAAGUUCGAGCGGACAGAUGGGGAGCUUGCUCCCUGAUGUUAGCGGCGGACGGGUGAGUAACACGGGGGUAACCUGCCUGUAAGACUGGGAUAACUCCGGGAAACCGGGGCUAAUACCGGAUGCUUGUUUGAACCGCAUGGUUCAAACAUAAAAGGUGGCUUCGGCUACCACUUACAGAUGGACCCGCGGCGCAUUAGCUAGUUGGUGAGGUAAUGGCUCACCAAGGCAACGAUGCGUAGCCGACCUGAGAGGGUGAUCGGCCACACUGGGACUGAGACACGGCCCAGACUCCUACGGGAGGUAGCAGUAGGGAAUCUUCCGCAAUGGACGAAGGUCUGACGGAGCAUGGCCGCUUGAGUGAUGACGGUUUUCGGAUCGUAAAGCUCUGUUGUUAGGGAAGACCAGUUUCCGUUCGAAAUAGGGCGGUACCUUGACGGUACCUAUCCAGAAAGGUCAUCGGCUAGACUACGUAGCCAGCAGCCGCGGUAAUACGUAGGUGGCAAGCGUUGUCCCGGAAUUAUUGGGGCGUAAAGGGCUCGCAGGCGGUUUCUUAAAGUCUGAUGUGAAAGCCCCCGGCUCAACCGGGGGAGGGUCAUUGGGAACUGGGGAACUUGAGUGCAGAAGAGGAGAGUGGAAUUCCACGUGUAGCGGUGAAAUGCGUAGAGAUGUGGAGGAACACCAGUGGCGAAGGCGACUCUCUGGUCUGUAACUGACGCUGAGGAGCGAAAGCGUGGGGAGCGAACAGGAUUAGAUACCCUGGUAGUUCCACCGCCGUAAACGAUGAGUGCUAAGUGUUAGGGUGUUUCCGCCCCUUAGUGCUGCAGCUAACGCAUUAAGCACUUCCGCCUGGGGGAGUACGGUCGCUAGACUGAAACUCAAAGGAAUUUGACGGGGGGCCCGCAUCAAGCCGGUGGAGCAUGUGGUUUAAUUCGAAGCAACGCGAAGAACCUUACCAGGUCUUGACAUCCUCUGACAAUCCUAGAGAUAGGACGUCCCCUUCGGGGGCAGAGUGACAGGUGGUGCAUGGUUGUCGUCAGCUCGUGUCGUGAGAUGUUGGGUUAAGUCCCGCAACGAGCGCAACCCUUGAUCUUAGUUGCCAGCAUUCAGUUGGGCACUCUAAGGUGACUGCCGGUGACAAACCGGAGGAAGGUGGGGAUGACGUCAAAUCAUCAUGCCCCUUAUGACCUGGGCUACACACGUGCUACAAUGGACAGAACAAAGGGCAGCGAAACCGCGAGGUUAAGCCAAUCCCACAAAUCUGUUCUCAGUUCGGAUCGCAGUCUGCAACUCGACUGCGUGAAGCUGGAAUCGCUAGUAAUCGCGGAUCAGCAUGCCGCGGUGAAUACGUUCCCGGGCCUUGUACACACCGCCCGUCGCGCCACGAGAGUUUGUAACACCCGAAGUCGGUGAGGUAACCUUUAGGAGCCAGCCGCCGAAGGGGACAUUAACCACAAUAAAUUUCGCUCCUG